Molecule: ribosomal RNA, 399 nt
Filed under: uncultured bacterium
Lineage: Bacteria
Description: bacterial SSU rRNA
Rfam family: Bacterial small subunit ribosomal RNA
Source: RNAcentral
UUAAGAAUCUUGCGCAAUGGGCGAAAGCCUGACGCAGCGACGCCGCGUGGACGAUGAAGGUCUUCGGAUUGUAAAGUCCAGUAAGCAGGAACGAAUAAGCAGCGGGUAAUAUUCGUUGUGAUGGCGGUACCUGCCUAAAGCCUCGGCUAACUACGUGCCAGCAGCCGCGGUAAUACGUAUGAGGCGAGCGUUGUUCGGAAUUAUUGGGCGUAAAGGGCGUGUAGGCGGGGAGUUAAGUUAGGUGUGAAAUCCACAGGCUCAACUUGUGAGCUGCACCUAAUACUGAUUCUCUUGAGUUCGGGAGAGGAGAGCGGAAUUCCCGGUGUAGCGGUGAAAUGCGUAGAUAUCGGGAAGAACACCAGUGGCGAAGGCGGCUCGUCUGGCCUAGAACUGACGCUA